AGGACGAACGCUGGCGGCGUGCUUAACACAUGCAAGUCGAACGAUGACCUCCAGCUUGCUGGGGUGAUUAGUGGCGAACGGGUGAGUAACACGUGAGUAACCUGCCCUCACUCUGGGAUAAGCACUGGAAACGGUGUCUAAUACCGGAUACGAGCUUCCGCCGCAUGGUGAGGAGCUGGAAAGAAUUUUGGUGGGGGAUGGGACUCGCGGCCUAUCGAGGUAGUUGGUGAGGUAAUGGCUCACCAAGCCGACGACGGGUAGCCGGCCUGAGAGGGUGCGGCAGACUGGGACUGAGACACGGCCCAGACUCCGUA
RNAcentral lists this ribosomal RNA (314 nucleotides) under uncultured soil bacterium. Its description in RNAcentral is "bacterial SSU rRNA". It matches the Rfam family "Bacterial small subunit ribosomal RNA", at positions 26 to 342 of the family's 1533-position model. The record is from RNAcentral.